CCUACGGGGGGCAGCAGUGGGGAAUAUUGCACAAUGGGCGAAACCCUGAUGCAGCAACGCCGCGUGAGUGAUGACGGCCUUCGGGUUGUAAAGCUCUGUCUUCAGGGACGAUAAUGACGGUACGUGAGGAGGCAACCAUGGCUAACUACGGGCCAGCAGCCGCGGUAAUACGUAGGUGGCGAGCGUUUGCCGGAUUUACUGGGCGGAAAGGGAGCGUAGGCGGGCUUUUAAGUCAGAUGUGAAAUACUCGGGCUCAACUUGGGUGCUGCAUUUCAAACUGGAUGUCUAGAGUGCAGGAGAGGAGGAUGGAAUUCCUAGUGUAGCGGUGAAAUGCGUAGAGAUUAGGAAGAACACCGGUGGCGAAGGCGAUUCUCUGGGCUGUAACUGACGCUGAGGCUCGAAAGCGUGGGGAGCAAACAGGAUUAGAUACCCGGGUAGUC
RNAcentral lists this ribosomal RNA (440 nucleotides) under uncultured bacterium. Its description in RNAcentral is "partial 16S ribosomal RNA". It matches the Rfam family "Bacterial small subunit ribosomal RNA", at positions 338 to 795 of the family's 1533-position model. The record is from RNAcentral.